RNAcentral lists this ribosomal RNA (211 nucleotides) under uncultured Streptococcus sp. RNAcentral's name for it is "partial 16S ribosomal RNA". It matches the Rfam family "Bacterial small subunit ribosomal RNA", at positions 1175 to 1382 of the family's 1533-position model. Lineage: Bacteria; Bacillati; Bacillota; Bacilli; Lactobacillales; Streptococcaceae. The record is from RNAcentral.
GGGGAUGACGUCAAAUCAUCAUGCCCCUUAGUGACCUGGGCUACACACGUGCUACAAUGGUUGGUACAACGAGUUGCGAGUCGGUGACGGCGAGCUAAUCUCUUAAAGCCAAUCUCAGUUCGGAUUGGUAGGCUGCAACUCGCCUACAUGAAGUCGGAAUCGCUAGUAAUCGCGGAUCAGCACGCCGCGGUCGAAUACGUUCCCGGGCCUU